UACGUAGUUGACUCCAGCUGUAAGUCAUGUGACACUAACAUAGAGCUACGUAGUUGACUCCAGCUGUAAGUCAUGUGACACUAACAUAGAGCUACGUAGUUGACUCCAGCUGUAAGUCAUGUGACACUAACAUAGAGCUACGCAGUUGACUCCAGCUUGAGGCUGACUAUUUUUUGGGGAGAUGACUUGCUGGACUGCUGUGGCAUCUGUCAGCAGUAUGGAAUCUGAUAGGAUAGGAUAGCACCGUGUGUGUGUGUGUGUGUGUGUGUGUGUGUGUUCCCGGUCCCUUGGUCAUGCAAUGGUGCUGACACAGCAGAGCCCUAGUUGCCAGUCCAGCCCCAGGUCAGCGCACUGCAGUGUGUGUGUGUGUGUGUGUGUGUGUGUGUGUGUGUGUGUGUGUGUGUGUGUGUGUGUGUGUGUGUGUGUGUGUGUGUGUGUGUGUUGCUGCCGCUGCUGCUCCUGUAUAAUGUGACGGAGGGAAUAAUCUCAUCUCACACCACUGGAUAACAGCACUGCAGACACACACACACACACACACACACACACACACACACACACACACACUUUAGCUCUGCCACCCUUUGACUAGGUGGCGCUGUAAAAAAAAAUGGGUGUAGUCGUAAAACUUCCUGUAGAGGAAGAGGCAUUAUCUGUGUUUUUAAAGCAGGUCUCACUGAGAGGCAGCGUGGUGGUGUCAGGUGUUGAUGGGAAACAGGACCUUCAUUCAACAGCAACACCACCCAACAUCCCUGGAGGCCUUAUGCAUAGGGCUCAUCAACACAAGAUAAGGAACCAUAUACACAAGAUAAUGAACCAUAGACACAAGAUAAUGAACCCUAGACACAAGAUAAUGAACACUAGACACAAGAAAAUGAACCAUAGACACAAGAUAAUGAACCAUAGACACAAGAUAAUGAACCCUAGACACAAGAUAAUGAACCCUAGACACAAGAAAAUGAACCAUAGACACAAGAUAAUGAACCAUAGACACAAGAUAAUGAACCAUAGACACAAGAUAAUGAACCCUAGACACAAGAAAAUGAACCAUAGACACAAGAUAAUGAACCCUAGACACAAGAAAAUGAACCAUAGACACAAGAUAAUGAACCAUAGACACAAGAUAAUGAACCCUAGACACAAGAAAAUGAACCAUAGACACAAGAUAAUGAACCAUACACACAAGAUAAUGAACCAUAGACACAAGAUAAUGAACCCUAGACACAAGAAAAUGAACCAUAGACACAAGAUAAUGAACCAUACACACAAGAUAAUGAACCAUAGACACAAGAUAAUGAACCCUAGACACAAGAGAAUGAACACAAACAAACAACCGUUUGUCUGUUUGUAUAUCAAGAGGAGAGUCAUCAAUGGUUUAUGGUCCCUGAGGGGCUAUCAAGAAGGGUCAUCAAUGGUUUAUGGUCCCUGAGGGGCUAUCAAGAAGGGUCAUCAAUGGUUUAUGGUCCCUGAGGGGCUAUCAAGAAGGGUCAUCAAUGGUUUAUGGUCCCUGAGUAGAUAUCAAGAGGAGAUUCAUCAAUGGUCUAUCUUCCCCGAGGAGGAAUGUGAUGAGAAAUGUGAUUGAAGGUGGAGUCUCCUUGCAGAGAGGGGACACCUUGUUACCAGUCUGAGAAAGACCUUAUCUACCUGCUGUUCUCUUCAUCUCCCCCUGUCUUCUCCCGCUCUCUCCCUCUCUCUCUCUCUCUCUCUCUCUCAAUUAAAUUAAAUUAAAUUCAAGGGCUUUAUUGGCAUGGGAAACAUGUGUUAACAUUGCCAAAGCAAGUGAGGUAGAUAGCUCUCUCUCUCUCUCUCUCUCUCCCUCUCUCUCUCUCUCCCUUUCUCUCUCUUUCUCCCCCUCUCCCCACCCUCUCUCUCUCUAUCCCCCUCUCCCACCCUAUUCCCCUCUCUCUCUUUCUCUCUCUCCCUCUCUCCCACCCUCUCCCUCUCUCUCCCUCUCUCUCUCUCCCCUUCUCGCUAGUUCCCCCCCUUCCCUCCUCAUCCCUCAUUCUUUCUCCCCCUCUCCCUCUCUCUCUCUGGGUGGAAACCUCCCAAGGAGCAGGAUCUGGUGACCUGUCUGUCGGUAGCCUUGCGUGGGCAGAGGGACGGGGACAUGGAGCUGUGUUUGUCUAAUAUUUUUCAUCCUAAUUACCCACAGUGCACCACACCAUGUAGCUCUUGUACUUUUCACAAUUAAAGGGGAACCUUCCUCUUCCUAAUGGCUGGCCUGUCUGGGGAAAAGGUUACGUUAUCUAGCUGGGGCUGAUUGAUACAACAUUUAGUGUAACGAAGGCCUGCUGUAGUCUCAACCCCAGUCCCAGUUCAGUUAGGCAGUGCUAGUCCACCUCUUUUUAUAGUUAGACCGUAGAAGCACACAGACUCCAUAUCAAACACUAAAAACAAGAAGCUUGAUAUCAUUGAUGGAAAAUCAAUGAUAUGAUAUGGGCAACAAUGUAGCUCACCUGGUUGUCCAGGCUGGAUCUGUUUUGAGGCGAGUCUGGUCUGGAGCAACAAGCGGCCUGUAUCUGUAUCAGGUCUUUUCAAUGGCUCUGUCAUAUCUGUUUAUGUUCUAUUUCUGUGUGAGCAGGAACAGGAAGACUUCUAGGUGGUCAUCGCUGGGCCAACAGUCUAUUUACUGUAAGUAGUGUAUUGUACGGUGUGCGUGUGCGUGUGCGUGAAUGUGUAAGAAAGAAAGAAAGUCUUCCCUGUUCUGUGAGAACCACAUUAAGAGUAACAAUGACUGCAUAGUACAACACACCAUCAGUUUCCCAUCUUAUAAAAGUUGUACCGGAAUCUGACUUGACUCUGACCGGACUCUGACCGGACUCUGACCGGACUCUGACCGGACAUGGGCAAAGACCCUCCUACCCCGGACACCAGACUUCAAACCUCCUACCCCGGGGGCCAGACCAACCCUCCUACCCCGGGGGCCAGACUACAACCCUCCUUCUCCAGAGGCCAGACUCCAACCCUCCUAUUCCAGACUCCAACCCUCCUACUCCAGAGGCCAGACUCCAACCCUCCUAUUCCAGACUCCAACCCUCCUAUUUCAGAGGCCAGACUCCAACCCUCCUAUUCCAGACUCCAACCCUCCUACUCCAGAGGCCAGGCUCCAACCUUCCUAUUCCAGAGGCCAGACUCCAACCCUCCUACUCCAGAGGCCAGUCUCCAACCCUCCUAUUCCAGAGGCCAGACUCCAACUCUCCUACUCCAGAGGCCAGGCUCCAACCCUCCUACUCCAGAGGCCAGACUCCAACCCUCCUACUCCAGAGGCCAGGCUCCAACCCUCCUACUCCAGAGGCCAGACUCCAACCCUCCUAUUCCAGAGGCCAGACUCCAAACCUCCUACUCCAGAGGCCAGACUCCAACCCUCCUACUCCAGAGGCCAGACUCCAACCCUCCUAUUCCAGAGGCCAGACUCCAACCCUCCUAUUCCAGAGGCCAGACUCCAACCCUCCUACUCCAGAGGCCAGACUCCAACCCUCCUACUCCAGAGGCCAGACUCCAACCCUCCUAUUCCAGAGGCCAGACUCCAACCCUCCUAUUCCAGAGGCCAGACUCCAACCCUCCUAUUCCAGACUCCAACCCUCCUAUUCCAGACUCCAACCCUCCUAUUCCAGAGGCCAGACUCCAACCCUCCUAUUCCAGACUCCAACGCUCCUAUUCCAGAGGCCAGACUCCAACCCUCCUAUUCCAGACUCCAACCCUCCUAUUCCAGACUCCAACCCUCCUAUUCCAGAGGCCAGACUCCAACCCUCCUAUUCCAGACUCCAACCCUCCUACUCCAGAGGCCAGACUCCAACCCUCCUAUUCCAGAGGCCAGACUCCAACCCUCCUAUUCCAGAGGCCAGACUCCAACCCUCCUAUUCCAGACUCCAACCCUCCUACUCCAGAGGCCAGACUCCAACCCUCCUACUCCAUAGGCCAGACUCCAACCCUCCUUCUCCGGAGUUCAGGCUCCAACUCUCCUACUCCAGAGGCCAGACUCCAACCCUCCUACUCCAGAGGCCAGACUCCAACCCUCCUAAUCCGGAGUUCAGACUCCAACCCUCCUACUCCAGAGGCCAGACUCCAACCCUCCUUCUCCAGAGUUCAGACUCCAACUCUCCUACUCCAGAGGCCAGACUCCAACCCUCCUACUCCAGAGGCCAGACUCCAACCCUACUUCUCCGGAGUUCAGACUCCAUUAUCUUUUGCUCUCCAUUCCUGAUACUACAGUCCUUCCAUAGAGGCUGAGGCCAGUCCAUUUAGAUUAGAAAUGAAGAGACAGGCAGGCUUCCAUAUUGAUAAUGCCGACUGUUCCUGCUUCGUGUCUCUCCAUUGCGACUGUAUCAGUCAUGUUGAUAAAUAGUUACUGGAACUGUAUUCUAACAGGCCUUCAUAUUGAUAAUGGGCCUGGUAAUAGGAUGGAGCCCAUGUCACCGGAGAGAGCUUUUAUCUCUGUCUCCUCAAAGUGCAGCAGUAACAUGAGAACAACAGCAGGGGGAUAGAGAAUGAUGCAAUUAUGCUAAUUAGCCACUGUUAGUUUAUUAUGUUGGUGUUUUCUUUUAUAUUACCCCCCACUCUCCCUCCUUCCCUCCCUCUCUCUCCCUCCUUCCCUCCCUCUCUCUCCCUCCUUCCCUCCCUCUCUCUCCCUCCUUCCCUCCCCCCC
This is a long non-coding RNA of Oncorhynchus tshawytscha (Chinook salmon), 4642 nucleotides long. NCBI's taxonomy places the organism in Eukaryota, Metazoa, Chordata, Actinopteri, Salmoniformes, Salmonidae. The record is from Ensembl.